This 540-nucleotide ribosomal RNA is filed under the name Bifidobacterium longum subsp. infantis. RNAcentral's name for it is "bacterial SSU rRNA". It matches the Rfam family "Bacterial small subunit ribosomal RNA", at positions 157 to 711 of the family's 1533-position model. Lineage: Bacteria; Bacillati; Actinomycetota; Actinomycetes; Bifidobacteriales; Bifidobacteriaceae. The record is from RNAcentral.
CGGGUGGUAAUGCCGGAUGUUCCAGUUGAUCGCAUGGUCUUCUGGGAAAGCUUUCGCGGUAUGGGAUGGGGUCGCGUCCUAUCAGCUUGACGGCGGGGUAACGGCCCACCGUGGCUUCGACGGGUAGCCGGCCUGAGAGGGCGACCGGCCACAUUGGGACUGAGAUACGGCCCAGACUCCUACGGGAGGCAGCAGUGGGGAAUAUUGCACAAUGGGCGCAAGCCUGAUGCAGCGACGCCGCGUGAGGGAUGGAGGCCUUCGGGUUGUAAACCUCUUUUAUCGGGGAGCAAGCGUGAGUGAGUUUACCCGUUGAAUAAGCACCGGCUAACUACGUGCCAGCAGCCGCGGUAAUACGUAGGGUGCAAGCGUUAUCCGGAAUUAUUGGGCGUAAAGGGCUCGUAGGCGGUUCGUCGCGUCCGGUGUGAAAGUCCAUCGCUUAACGGUGGAUCCGCGCCGGGUACGGGCGGGCUUGAGUGCGGUAGGGGAGACUGGAAUUCCCGGUGUAACGGUGGAAUGUGUAGAUAUCGGAAAAGAACACCA